This 240-nucleotide long non-coding RNA is filed under the name Ananas comosus (pineapple). RNAcentral's name for it is "long non-coding RNA (ACOM_LNC025957)". The record is from RNAcentral. Lineage: Eukaryota; Viridiplantae; Streptophyta; Magnoliopsida; Poales; Bromeliaceae.
CUUCUACCAUUUUUGGUGUGUGUAGCUAGAUCACCUACCAGUGUCUAUAACAGCCUGUACAGUAAUAUGAGAUUGGGAGUGGCCAGAAAUGUUUUACCAUUUUGAGGAUUAGUGUGGUGAUGAUUGUACAUCUAUUCUGUUGCUAUAGUAUAUAGUUCUUAUUUUACUCUGAUACCUAUUGUUGUUGGAUUGUAAUAACUUCUUUGAAUAGGUUUUGUUGAUGCUUCGUAUGCAUAAGGU